GGGGUUAGGAGAUGAGCGGAGGUGGGUUUAUGAGGUCCUGUCUUUUGAAGCUUGCGGGCGGGUUCUUCGCCGCUGCCGCGGUACCCCCUAGCCGGUUUCGAGGGACGGGCGAUGCUCGUCCACUUCGACGAGCCGCUCCCAUUAAAGCGGUUCCAGAUGGACCGCGCCGUGUACCUAUGCUUCCUCCUCCACCGUUAGUUCCACUACCUGUUCCUCUUCGAGUAGUUCAACCCGCGGCAAGUUGUCUAGUUCGCGCUCUAGCGGCACUACGCGGCCGACGCCGUGGGGUUGUAGCACGUCGACGUGUUCCACUACCGCACGUUCAGGGCAUAGAAGCAGCAGUACCUCAUGCAGGCGCCACCGGGCGAGAUGGCGGUGUAGGGGCGGUUGCCGCCGGAGUUCCUCCUGCUCUGCGCGGCGUAGAAGGUCGUCGAGCAGAGCCGUGAGUGGAAGACGGUGCGCGUCCCGCACAUGGUAGCGCUGUAGUUCGGGCUGUUGGAGGAGCAGCUGCUCGUGCCGUUAGAGUUCCAGCGGCUGAAGCCCGACAGGCGGGUGCGGCUGUGCCGAGCGGCCCUCCGCGAGGAGGUGUGGCAGACGCCGUGCGGGGACAUGCAGGGAGGCCUCCACAAGCGCGCGGCCCCGAUGCUACCACGGUUCCGCCUGCGGACCAGGACGCCGUAGCAGGAGAAGCACGAGCGGCGGCCGGCGUUCGGGAAGGCGCUGCUGCUGAAGUAGUGCGAUAUGUCCUGUUAGACGGCGCCACUGAUGGCGACGGGUGCGUGGAAGUCGGGGCUUGACCAUGCGUAUCAUGCGGCGGAGGAGGUUGGUUUGGGUCGCGUGGCCUAGUGUGAUGACGUUUAGUUCCUUUGUCUAACCAAGUUCUUCCCGAAGUUCCUUUAUUCAAAGAUAUAGCUGUUGUUCCUGACGGACGCGUCGGAACUACCGAGGCUUCUCGGACUAGAGACACUGAGACUGAGGCUCCUGCUCUGACGGUACAGAAGUAGUAGGAGGCCGAGAAGGAGAGGCCACCGAGUACCGCUACCGCCGCCGUACGUGUGGAGCCAAAGUCGUGGCAGCGAACAUUUAGACCUCUUCUACGUGUAACGACGUCGGACACGGGGACUCGGCGCAUAUUCUGCCUAGUUCUCAUACUUGCGCAAGCUGUAAUAGCGGAGGAGCGGUUCGAAGCUAGACAGGCCCGACAAGCUCCUCGCGCCGCUCGUCAACGCAAAGCACAGGUCGCGCGGUCACUUGUGGUAGUAGUUCUUCGACCUCCUCUAGCGGCCCGUUCAAUCGAAGUGCCGCGCGUGGUUCCUAACGGUCCACUCGAAGCUCCGCUGCUCCUUACCGGUGUUCCCGCGCGACCGGUAUAGGUGGUUCUAUAAGGUCGAGUGCGGCCUCGAGCAGUACCAAGUCCAUACGUUCUUUCGGCCUCUAUGGCGACUUAUGGCAGUUAAGACGCCGUCACUCGAGUUCGGGCCGGAAGCUCCAGAACACCUACCGGACGGGCUCCUACCGGAAGGAGGUUGCGACUUACAACGCACUUUAAAAUCUCUUACACCCACUUUUCGUCGUCCCGAACUAAAUUUUCAUAGAAGUGAAACAAAAAGAGUAACAAAUCAUCAAGUCAAGUCCUGAUUUGUCACAAUCACCACCUAGUGGCUACAUAGCUGUAACUCAAGGUUCACAACACAUCAGACGUGUAAUCUUUUUUAUAACGAACAACGAUUAAUUUAAAAAUAUCUGACAAAAGAUAUCGCUUCAAUUAAAACUCCAACUAAACCAUAACUUUGUAGAUGUGUAUUAAGUAGAGUAUUAUAACUCUACUCU
RNAcentral lists this ribosomal RNA (1830 nucleotides) under Triticum aestivum (bread wheat). RNAcentral's name for it is "partial small subunit ribosomal RNA". The record is from RNAcentral. Lineage: Eukaryota; Viridiplantae; Streptophyta; Magnoliopsida; Poales; Poaceae.